RNAcentral lists this ribosomal RNA (645 nucleotides) under Triticum aestivum (bread wheat). RNAcentral's name for it is "partial small subunit ribosomal RNA". Lineage: Eukaryota; Viridiplantae; Streptophyta; Magnoliopsida; Poales; Poaceae. The record is from RNAcentral.
AUGGCUUGGUCUCAAGGUAUAGAUACCACCAGAAGCUUGGAAAGAAGCAACGGAGGCCCCUCGACAUAUGUUGCAACGUCUUCAAUAGCAUGCUCUUACUUCGUCUUUCCCUUAAUAAGUCAUCAAAUUUGGUGCUUUUCGAUCCCCAGUUGCUAUGGGGAACAAAGGCAGAAAUACAAUAGAAUCCUCCAUUUAAGUGGUUCUUGCUUCUCCUUGUUCCUGCUCCUAACUCCUCCCCGGGUAGUUCCCAACGUUUGGCACUUUCCAUACUUCGUGGGUGCAACAUCAACAAAUUCGCUCAUGAUCAAGUUACAACCUAAGAUCUAUGACUAUAUUAUGUUAACUGUUCGUAUUUUGUUCAUUCCAUCGGUAUGCUCCCAGGUACCUAUAAUUGUGAUCUGUUUGCCAGAACCAAGGGGUUUUUCUGUGGAAACCUUCACGAGCAAUCAUUUUUUGAUGGUUUUUCCGCUUUUCACAGCUGCUCUUUCCACACCCCCGGAUAUCUGGUGCCAAACCGUCGCCCCUUUCCUUAUAUAUUCGAUAAUCGAGUUUGCUAUCUUUGUGGCAUUGAUUGUACAAGUUCUUCAAGAGGGAUGGAUGAGUAGAAUGAGGGAAAGCGGCUCGAUCGAGAAAAAAGAGGAGUAG